Molecule: unclassified non-coding RNA, 2108 nt
Filed under: Hevea brasiliensis (rubber tree)
Lineage: Eukaryota; Viridiplantae; Streptophyta; Magnoliopsida; Malpighiales; Euphorbiaceae
Source: RNAcentral
UUUUGAACCGGCCCUGGCCGGUCAUAGUUGCCGUCAUUUGCACUCCCAGUCUCCCUUCCUCACUUCUACUUUCUCUUCUCCAUCAACAAUGCCCUGAUCAAGUGUUGCUUGUUUUUCUAGCAGAAACACUCCCUCAAUAAGCUAAAAAAUGUUGUCGUUUUUGCUCUCUCGCGCUUCACGCAACACCACCACUAGAAGGUUACUCAGUUCCUCUCUCUCCUCUUCGCUUUCUCUUUUCAACGACACAGUCAUCGUCUCUCCAAGUCGCCCAUCAGAACCAAACCCUAAGACUAACCAGAUCAUCCGUACACUUUACCCAUUUACUCAAUCUUACUACUGGAGGAAUUUCGAAUUUUCCCGCAACUAUCUGAACUCUAAUUACUCCAAUUUGAGGUUUGUUGGAGGAAUUUCCACUUUGUCGAGCCCGAAGAACGAGGAUAAUCGGGAGAAUGGAGGGUUGUCGAAAGAAGGAGAGGUGUCUUGGAUUGAUUUGUACUUGCCGAGACUGGUUCGCCCUUAUGCACGGCUUGCUCGACUUGAUAAGCCGAUAGGAACUUGGCUGCUUGCUUGGCCUUGUAUGUGGUCGAUUACGUUGGCAGCAACCCCAGGGCACCUUCCUGAUUUUAAGAUGAUGACUUUAUUUGGUUGCGGGGCUUUGCUUUUAAGGGGUGCUGGAUGUACCAUAAAUGAUCUCCUUGAUAGAGAUAUUGAUACCAAGGUGGAGCGUACGAAGUUGAGACCAGUUGCAAGUGGUCUUUUGUCACCAUUUCAAGGGCUUUGUUUUCUUGGUUUUCAAUUGCUCUUGGGUCUUGGAAUUCUCCUUCAACUAAAUAAUUAUAGCCGCAUUUUGGGAGCUUCAUCCUUGUUGCUAGUCUUCUCCUAUCCCCUCAUGAAGAGAUUGACAUUUUGGCCUCAAGCCUAUCUAGGUUUGACAUUUAACUGGGGAGCUUUGUUAGGUUGGUCUGCUAUUAAGGGAAGUUUAGAUCCAGCUAUUGUUUUGCCACUGUACAUGAGUGGAGUAUUUUGGACCCUUGUGUAUGAUACAAUAUAUGCACAUCAGGAUAAGGAGGAUGAUCUCAAAGUGGGUGUUAAAUCAACUGCCCUGAGAUUUGGGGAUUCAACAAAGGAAUGGAUCACUGGGUUUGGAAUUGCAUGCAUUAGUAGUCUUGCCCUCAGUGGAGUCAAUGCUAAUAUUGGAUGGCCGUUUUAUGCAUUUUUGGCAGCUGCUUCUGGACAUUUAGCUUGGCAAAUAUGGACAGUUGACCUAUCUUGUCGUGCUGAUUGCAACAGAAAGUUUGUGUCAAAUAAAUGGUUUGGUGCAUUAAUUUUUAGCGGGAUUUUGUUUGGUAGAUACUUGUGAUAGAGGUAUGGUUACCUUUCGCUGAACAUAACCUGUGUAUUCUAGAUUUGCUCUUUGGUUUCCUAGGCAAGGUUAAAAAAUAAAAACUGGUUAUUCUAUAGAUUUUUUGCUGUGGUGAAAGGAACCCAAAAAUCAAUCUCUCUCAUUCUCUCAUAUGCUAAAGAUGAUUCAUGGUUAUAAAUCACAGGUGUCAUGGACAUGAACAUUUCAUCUCUAUUCAAUUGAAUUGCUUGUAAUACUUAUAUUUUUGAGGUUUUACUAAAUUAUAUUUGAUAUACUUAUAAAUUGGUCAAUAUGGAAUUUAAUUGAAUUGAACAUGAGCAUUCAUGGGGUUUCCAAAUAGAGUUGAUGAGCAUAUGCCUCUUCUGUUAAAUGCAAAAAAGGACAACAACAGCAUGGGCUCUACUAUAUGCCUUUGGAAUCUAUAUCUUAACUAUGGAUGACUUAUGCAGUGUCUUGUGGUGUGUUGCAGUUGAACUUUUCAACAUUGUUUUGAAAACAUGCAGCAGAAAAUCUUUGAACAAGCUUUGAAUAUUAUUCCAUUAUAAUGUGUCAGAAACUGACAAUGGGAUUGGGAGACUAACCCAUUAUCAAUCUUCAAACUAGAUAACCAAACAGGAAGGCAUUCAAAGUUAAUUUGUGAAGGGAUUCAAUGUGCAGACUCCUGGAUUCUCAUUGAUUGAUAUUUGCCUUCCUAACUUCAUGCUCCCGCAUAGUUUCUGCCUUUCUGUGACUGUAAUGUGUAUCA